Molecule: ribosomal RNA, 494 nt
Filed under: uncultured bacterium
Lineage: Bacteria
Description: partial 16S ribosomal RNA
Rfam family: Bacterial small subunit ribosomal RNA
Source: RNAcentral
GACGAACGCUGGCGGCGUGCUUAACACAUGCAAGUCGAACGGUGAAGCGCCUUCCUUUUUGGUGGGUGUGGAUGAGUGGCGAACGGGUGAGUAACACGUGAGUAACCUGCCCCCUUCUUCUGGAUAACCGCAUGAAAGUGUGGCUAAUACGGGAUAUUCUGGGUCUGUCGCAUGAUGGGUCUGGGAAAGAUAUUGUUUCGGUGGGGGAUGGGCUCGCGGCCUAUCAGCUUGUUGGUGGGGUGAUGGCCUACCAAGGCGGUGACGGGUAGCCGGCCUGAGAGGGUGGACGGUCACACUGGGACUGAGACACGGACCAGACUCCGACGGGAGGCAGCAGUGGGGAAUAUUGCACAAUGGGCGCAAGCCUGAUGCAGCGACGCCGCGGGAGGGAUGGAGGCCUGCGGGUUGUGAACCUCUUUCGCCAGUGAAGCAGGCCUGCCUCGUUUGUGGGUGGGUUGACGGUAGCUGGAUAAGAAGCGCCGGCUAACUACGUG